This is a long non-coding RNA of Tupaia belangeri chinensis (Chinese tree shrew), 478 nucleotides long. RefSeq lists it as uncharacterized. NCBI's taxonomy places the organism in Eukaryota, Metazoa, Chordata, Mammalia, Scandentia, Tupaiidae. The record is from RefSeq and is a predicted model, not a curated record. The transcript is spliced from 3 exons.
AAAGCAAAAACAAAAACAAACAAACAAAAACCAACCAAGGCUUAGAGAGGCAAAUGAUUCAUACGAUAUAAAAGAAAGAACAAGUGGAAGAAGUGAAGUUUGAACUUGGUUAGCAAAGGCUUUAUUAACGCGAACCUGGUGCCCUCCAGCAAAUGACAAAAAGAAAUACAUAUGGCCUGGAGGACCACCAGGAAGAAGCGGGCUGCUACCCUGCUUACCGGCUGACUAUGUGGCUGUCACGAGACUUUCUUUCUCAAGCUGGAAGGAGAGAAGGAGAUCUACGUCAGAGCAUACGCGCCCCUGCGGGCACACACAAGAAUGUUUCAAGCCUGGCUGUGUAAUGCAGAAAUACUGGAACCAUCUCACGGCUGAAAAUCACUCAGGUGUGUGUGCCUGUGUGCCCAAAGUCCUGAGAGGAAAAUGGAGGAGAGAGGAUGGCAGUGCAGCCAAAUCCACUGGAGGGGAGAGUGGUUUCUUA